CUGUGAUGUGCAGCAAAAGGUUGUUGAGCUUCACACAAUGGGGCGUGUCUAUAAGAAAAUAGCACAAGCAUUGAAAACGCCCAUUUCACCAUCAGGGCAAUGAGUAAGAAGUUCCAGUCAACUGGAAAUGUUAUGAAUCGACCUGGAAUUGGACGUGUGUCUAUAUCGUCUCAACACACUGUGAAGAGGACGGUUCGAGUGGAUAAAACAUCUCCAAGGAUCACAGCUGGAGAACUGCAGGAGUUAGUCGUGUCUUGGAGUCAGAAAGUCUCCAAAACUACAAUCUGAAGUCACCGACAUCACCACAAGCUGUUUGGAAGGGGUUCAAGAAAAAAGCCUCUACUCUCAUCCAAAAACAAACUUGAGCGUCUUCAGUGUGCCGACACUACUGGAACUUCAAAUGGGAUCGGGUUCUAUGGUCAGAUGAAACCAGAAUAGAGCUUUUUGGUGAUAAACACAGAGGUGGUUUUGGCACACAGAGAGGUAGCCGUAUGGAAAAGUCCCUCAUGCCCACGGUUAAAUAUGGAGGUGGAUCAUGGCAUCAUGGACUCUCAAAUAUCAACAGAUAUUAAAUGAAUGAAUUGCUUCAUUUUUCUCUCAUUUCACUGGCUACUACGAUGUGUCCU
Long non-coding RNA from Ictalurus punctatus (channel catfish), 626 nucleotides. NCBI's taxonomy places the organism in Eukaryota, Metazoa, Chordata, Actinopteri, Siluriformes, Ictaluridae. The record is from Ensembl.